Molecule: non-coding RNA, 72 nt
Organism: Saccoglossus kowalevskii
Lineage: Eukaryota; Metazoa; Hemichordata; Enteropneusta; Harrimaniidae
Source: the annotation of a RefSeq genome assembly
GCCUUAGUGGCCAAGUGGUAAGGCGUCGGUCUCGUAAACCGAAGAUCAUGGUUUGGAACCCCAUCUAAGGCU